Molecule: ribosomal RNA, 252 nt
Filed under: uncultured bacterium
Lineage: Bacteria
Description: partial 16S ribosomal RNA
Rfam family: Bacterial small subunit ribosomal RNA
Source: RNAcentral
UACGAAGGGGGCUAGCGUUGUUCGGAAUACUGGGCGUAAAGCGCACGUAGGCGGAUCGAUCAGUCAGGGGUGAAAUCCCAGGGCUCAACCCUGGAACUGCCUUUGAUACUGUCGAUCUGGAGUAUGGAAGAGGUGAGUGGAAUUCCGAGUGUAGAGGUGAAAUUCGUAGAUAUUCGGAGGAACACCAGUGGCGAAGGCGGCUCACUGGUCCAUUACUGACGCUGAGGUGCGAAAGCGUGGGGAGCAAACAGG